This 495-nucleotide ribosomal RNA is filed under the name uncultured bacterium. RNAcentral's name for it is "partial 16S ribosomal RNA". It matches the Rfam family "Bacterial small subunit ribosomal RNA", at positions 28 to 523 of the family's 1533-position model. The record is from RNAcentral.
GAUGAACGCUAGCGGGAGGUCUAACACAUGCAAGCCGAGCGGUAGAGAUUCUUCGGAAUCUUGAGAGCGGCGUACGGGUGCGGAACACGUGUGCAACCUGCCUAUAUCAGGGGGAUAGCCUUUCGAAAGGAAGAUUAAUACCCCAUAAUAUAUUGAAUGGCAUCAUUUGAUAUUGAAAACUCCGGUGGAUAGAGAUGGGCACGCGCAAGAUUAGAUAGUUGGUGAGGUAACGGCUCACCAAGUCUACGAUCUUUAGGGGGCCUGAGAGGGUGAUCCCCCACACUGGUACUGAGACACGGACCAGACUCCUACGGGAGGCAGCAGUGAGGAAUAUUGGACAAUGGGUGCGAGCCUGAUCCAGCCAUCCCGCGUGAAGGACGACGGCCCUAUGGGUUGUAAACUUCUUUUGUAUAGGGAUAAACCUAGAUACGUGUAUCUAGCUGAAGGUACUAUACGAAUAAGCACCGGCUAACUCCGUGCCAGCAGCCGCCGUAA